This 298-nucleotide ribosomal RNA is filed under the name uncultured bacterium. RNAcentral's name for it is "partial 16S ribosomal RNA". It matches the Rfam family "Bacterial small subunit ribosomal RNA", at positions 475 to 776 of the family's 1533-position model. The record is from RNAcentral.
CUAUGCGCCUUGCCAGCCCGCUCAGGUGUGCCAGCAGCCGCGGUAAUACGUAGGGGCAAGCGUUAUCCGGAUUUACUGGGUGUAAAGGGAGCGUAGACGGCCAGACAAGUCUGAAGUGAAAAUCCAGCGCUUAACGUUGGAAGUGCUUUGGAAACUGCCGGGCUAGAGUGCAGGAGGGGCAGGCGGAAUUCCUAGUGUAGCGGUGAAAUGCGUAGAUAUUAGGAGGAACACCAGUGGCGAAGGCGGCCUGCUGGACAGUAACUGACGCUGAGGCGCGAAAGCGUGGGGAGCAAACAGG